This is a long non-coding RNA of Sapajus apella (tufted capuchin), 375 nucleotides long. RefSeq lists it as uncharacterized. The transcript is spliced from 3 exons. The record is from RefSeq and is a predicted model, not a curated record. Lineage: Eukaryota; Metazoa; Chordata; Mammalia; Primates; Cebidae.
UUCAACAACAUGUUAAAUAAUUGUUUAUGCAUGACCAAGUGGGAUUUAUCCCAGGGAUGCAAAAAUAGCUCAAUAUAUACAAACCGAACCAUGCAAUAGAUGAUAUCAAUGGAAUGAAGGAUAAAAACUAUGUGAUCAUUUUAAUUGAUGCUGAGAAAGCAUUUGAUAAAAUUCAACAUCCAUCCAAGAUAAAAAUCUGCUAAAAAUUGGGUAAAGAAGAAACACACUUCAACAUAAGAAAAGCCAUAUACUACAGACUAACAGUUAGUAUCAUACUAAAUGGAGAUAAGCUGAAAGCCUUUCUUAUAAGAUCUGGAAGUAAACAAGGAUGCUCACUCUCACCACUCCUCUUCGACAUAGUACUGGAAGUCCUAG